Molecule: ribosomal RNA, 433 nt
Filed under: uncultured bacterium
Lineage: Bacteria
Description: partial 16S ribosomal RNA
Rfam family: Bacterial small subunit ribosomal RNA
Source: RNAcentral
AACGAACGCUGGCGGCAUGCCUAACACAUGCAAGUCGAACGAGACCUUCGGGUCUAGUGGCGCACGGGUGAGUAACGCGUGGGAACCUGCCCUUAGGUUCGGAAUAACUCCCCGAAAGGGGUGCUAAUACCGGAUAAUGUCUUCGGACCAAAGAUUUAUCGCCUUUGGAUGGGCCCGCGUUGGAUUAGCUAGUUGGUAGGGUAAAAGCCUACCAAGGCGACGAUCCAUAGCUGGUCUGAGAGGAUGAUCAGCCACACUGGGACUGAGACACGGCCCAGACUCCUACGCGAGGCAGCAGUGGGGAAUAGUGGACAAUGGGGGAAAGCCUGAUCCAGCAAUGCCGCGUGAGUGAUGAAGGCCUUAGGGUUGUAAAGCUCUUUUACCCGGGAUGAUAAUGACAGUACCGGGAGAAUAAGCGCCGGCUAACUCCGUG